Molecule: non-coding RNA, 1751 nt
Organism: Aegilops tauschii subsp. strangulata
Lineage: Eukaryota; Viridiplantae; Streptophyta; Magnoliopsida; Poales; Poaceae
Source: RefSeq, a predicted model, not a curated record
UGAAGGUUGCCAAAGAAGCCAGUGCGCUUCUCUCGUAUGACCCGAACCUGAGGGAGGCAUUGUGGCCAUUCCUUGAGGAGGCUCGCACUAAGAUCUUGAGCAUCUGGGACCAGGCAGACAUUGUCAAGGUCAUCGAGGUCGAGCUCAAGGACACAAUGGCAGCAGCAGCAGCAAGGAAAGGAAUUCAAGGCCAUGGGAGCUGCUUCUAGUAUAGGACGUGUUGGACCUGCUGCUGCUGCCAGUUGUGUUACCCGACCAAGUCCCCAAGCUGCAUCCUGCUGCUCCUGCCCCGGCCGUCCUCAACUUGCUCCUGACAGCUACUGCAGGUGAGACAAUUGCCUCCAUCUACUGCAGAGGAGGUAUGGCUACCGCGCAAUGAUGCUGGAGACUGUUGCCGCAGUGCUGGGGAUGGAGACAGAUUGCAUUGGAAAUAUUCUGUUAUUCCUUACCUAAUGUUCUUGUUGCUGAUAAUAGGGCAUGUAGAUAGCAAGUUAUUUUCCUAGUGGUUACUUAUGCUUAUUGUGUAUCACAUUUAAAAAGAAAAUGCACAAUGAGCUUGUUUGACCUUUUUUAUGCUUAUGUAUGCUUGAUCAGGGUAGUUCUUUUUUAAUUUGAUGACAAUGAACCAAUAUAACCAGUCAUCAGUACCUAGUGUGCAUUGCCAAGUACAACAGUUCUACAUUGUAUGGAAUCAUCUAUAGAUAUUAUUUAUCGAUAUGGGUUAACUCAUCCUUAUUGUUCGAUCCUCUCUUUUAGUUAAUAAUGUAUGCAUGCCUUGUAUGUUCUGUCUUCUUUACCUGUUCUGUCCUCGGGCAAUUAAACAUUGUAUCUAUUUUUAUUGUGAUAUGCAACUCUUCAAAAAAAGAAACUGUAUUAUGGAAAUACUCAUCUGCAUGGAAUUUCUAUGUAUUCUGGUAGUUUAUUUUUGAUACUGUAUUGCUGUAUUCCCAAUCUGCGUGGGAGCCGAAGCUUGAUUUGUUCUUGUUUCUGUUUCAGUACUAGUACAAUGUAAUGAUUUUGUGCUUUCAUGAAGUAUUUUGCGCUAUUUUUAUCUGUCGAGCAAUUUAGAAGACCUGUAGAGCAUUUAACUAGACAGUUGACUUUGCAUGUGCAACUAUGCUUGCUUAGAGCAGCCCUUGACUGGUUACAUUAUUGUGAUGGACCGUGCUGUUCUUAGUUGUGCUACAGUAUGUGUUCCUUGUUGUUUACACUUGUUAGCCAAAUCAUUGCACACGCAGUGUUAAUGCGAUGUUGUAAAAAAAUUCUUGUUUGUACAAUGUAUCUGCUACAUUUGUUUUCAUCUUGAUAGCUAGCAUCCUAGCACCAUGAACUUUGAUUGUAAAAUCUCUAUAUGCUGUAAAAUUAAUUGGGUCAGUCUCGAAUUUGUUGUGAAUUGUAAGAUGCUUCAAGUAAAUGUUUUUUUGCCUUCUCACGUGUAGGCGGUCAGGCGAGACAACAAGUAGAGGUUCAGUCUGUUGGAGGAGUAUGGUGAGCUGCUGAUUCGGGCUAACCAGGGGCACACUGUGGCAGGCGUCCUGACUAUGAGCAGGAGCAGGUGCAUGUGCCUGUUUGUAAUGCUAACGAAGGAGCUCCAUCCUGAAGAAUAUAGUGCUUGUAGAGCUUGUAAAUUAGUUACUCCACUUGUAGAGUUAUUUGUAGAGCAGGAGCACCAUUGUAUUGCGUGUUAUUUGUAGAGCAGGAGCUCCAUACAGAAUCUGGCUCUAUACUGAAUCUGGCUGUUGUUAUUUGAA